GGUACAUUCUGAGGGAGGACGAUGAGACCUGCCUAGCUCGUGCACGUUUGUGUUACUAUAUCACUUUUACUAAUUUUCAGUCGUCUGAAAAUGAAUUGGUCUCAGGUCGUUUUUUAGUCCGUCCGAUUUCGCACAAAUCUUAUCGCCUCGUUUGUCUUCAGUAUCGUGUCCCCGGGGUGGUUCUGUCGGCUUUCGGGUUCGCGGGUCUGCAACGGGUAUAGCCUUUUCGAAUUUUCUAUUCAGUCUUGUGGGGCGGUGGCUAGGAGGGGAUCGGUGGGGGUUGGCCGAGGUGGGGCGGAGACGGCGGAGGGAAGGCGAGGGGAUCCUCCGGUGAUUAGUAGCGGAGAUGGCGCGCGGCGAGUCUCCCCAGGGGGCUGCAGGUGGGAGAGAUGCUGGCCUGGAGAGGAGCUUGGCGGAGCUGCCCCGUUGUGCGCGCCACAAGCAAGCUCCAGUCGGUGGAGGCGGCAGUAGUCGGCGGCGCCGGUGGGGCUCAUCCGCGCAUGGCAUAGUCGAUUUUUUUCCAUCAUGUUCAAGUGGAUGUUUUUCUUAGUGUGUGAAGACAGAUUUUUUAGGUAUGCUUUGCUUCAGAUUUUUUAUGGUAUACCCAGCAAUCAGAUUUCUUAGGGUCAGCCUAGGUUAUGUAUACGCAGUCUAGUUUUUUUUCUCUGGGAAUUGGAAAGCCAGCUCUGUUUGUUCAUUUUUUAGUUGUCGAUAGCUAGAAAAAAAUUAUGUUCUAACCCAAAGAAAAGGCCUCCGUGAUUUCCUCUUGUUGGUCAGAUUUAGUCAGUCGAUCAGAUCCAUUAAUGUUUCACCCAGAGCCAUCUGAUAAAGCUUUCAAUGCAUUUUUUGUUUCUAUAGUUGAUCAUUUUUUAGCCAUGUUUCCCUAUAAAGCAAAACUUCUUCAAGUUAAGUUCAUUGUUGAGUUUAAGUUCAAUCAUUCUUACUUCAGUAUACCGACAAACAGUUUUUCCCUAUUCACCAUGUGCCUUAUAGAUGGAGUACCAAAUCUGCAUGUCUGACGACUAUAGAGGCCACAAAGCAACUGGCAGAUCAUUUUUGGAAUACGUUUUGGGAGCAGGGGGCAUCAUCACUGCUGUUUACAUGACCUCCAAGGACGGCGUAUCAGCUUCAACAAUGGUUGAAGGAAUUUCUCAUGGAGAAGAACCUAAGGGUCGACACCUCUAUGAAGAUUACUAUCAGGCCCAACGACUCUGGAGAACUUGUUGAGUCUUUGGGAGCUUUCCCUAGUGCUUAAGUUUUCCAUCUUUAGCAGAUCGUUUAUUCUGCAUAUGUCUUAUAGAUUCAUUUAUAAGUCUAGCAAUAAACACACACACACACACACACACACACACACACACAAGAGAAGUUUGGCUCUUUCACUCACAUAAAUAUUUCUCUGUCAGUUUCGACACAAGUUUCAAGGUAUAAAAAAUAUGAAUCAAUUUUUCAUCCCUCCCUUUGACCUGCAUGAACGCAUCUUCUUGGCUUCCAAAUUUCCAAUGCACAUAUCUUGCAUAUCCUCAUUCGCACUGCUAUUCACCUGUAAAAUUCAGUCUUUUCAGAUAUAGUAUGAACUCAAGAACAUAUAUGUGAUGAAGAAGCAGUAAGCAUGAAACCAAGAAGAUGCAACAACUUUAGUUUUAUUCUGUAGCUUUCUCCUGGUACUCAUUUCUUUAGUGUUAGGUUUGUUAGCUAUUUAGUAUUGUUUUUAGUCCAAAGUCUCCAUGUAUUCUCUAUUCUCAGCCUCCGUGGUUUCAGUAUUUCAGUGAUUACUCUUCAUUCUUCAUUGAUUUAUUCUCUAUUGUCUCAUGUUUUCUUAGUCAUCCUUUUUCUUAGUCAUUCUGAUUUAGUCAGUUUUGAGUUCUCAGCCUUCAUUUAGUCUUCUUGUCAAUCAUCCAUUAUUUUUUUCCAGAUUGUCUAGUUAUUCUGUCCAGUUAUUUCAUUGAUUAGUCUUCAUUUUAUCAGUUUUUCUAGGACGAGUUUGUCUAUGUAUUUUCAUUUUCAUUGUUUAUUCUUUAGUAUCUCAGUUCUAGUUUCAGUUAUCAUUGUUAUUAUCAUUAGGCUCCGCCACUCAGUCUUUGCUCGGGUUUAAGUUUAUUAAACUCACUUCUCAGUCUUGUGUUUCAGUUAUCAGUGUUUCAUUUUACUUGUCAUUCAGAAUUUCUUUGUGUGCUAGUUGUUGUCUGUCUUGAGACAUUGUAUGGGUAGAUUCAGUCCUUCAUUUUUUGUUUUCCACUCUUACUCAUUCCUUUUAGUUAUCUUUGUCUUUUAUCCCAAAGUCUUCAGUUAUCAUUCAUGUUGUUAUUUCAGUCAGUCAUUAUUGUGAAUUCUCAGUUCUCAUUUUUUUUCUUCAGUCUUCACUGUUAGCUGAUUUGUUCAGCCUCAAGGCAUAGCUACCUUUGUUUCAGUCUAUCUACUCCCUCCGUCCCAUAAUGUAAGACGUUUUUUGACACUAGUGUAGUAUCAGAAAGCGUCUUACAUUAUGGGACGGAGGGAGUACCUUUUUAGGUUUCUAUCAGAAUGAGUUUCUUUGUUGAUCUGUAGACAAUUUUCUUAUUUAACAGCCAGGGUUUUGUGUUUUGUGUUUUUCAUUCUUUGUAUCUCAUUAUUUUCAGUCCUUUCUCCAUUUUGUCAUUGUUCACUUAAUGUCCAUUGAUCAUUUCAUCAUUUCUCGUUGUUUAGUUUUUGUAUCUCAUUAUUUAUAUACGUCAUUAUUUCUCAGUGAGGGGCGCAAAUUUCUCAGUUUUUGUAUGCCAGUACUCGGUUAUUUGUCCUCUGUAUUUUGCUGAUCCAUUUAUAUUUAUGUAAUAUUCCUUAGUGUUUGUAUCUCAUUAUUUAUAUAAGCAUAUAAGCUUACAGUUUCUCUAGUAUUGCAGUCUUGAAGUUCAUAUUCCUCACUCACUGUGCGGUUUUUAUUCAGCAUUGAUUCAUCAUCUUUUAGUUUUUAGUAAAGUUAUUUAGUCCAUGUUUUGUAUUGAGCAGCAUGAGCAGGUGAUGUACUGUGAAGACUAAGUAGUUUCUUCAGUUACUUUUUGUCAUUGUCUAGCAUGAUCAGUUGUUCCUUUCUAUAAGUCAAAAUUCAUUUUACUUGUUGCGUUUUCGUCAGUCUCUGUUUUUUUCAUGUACUUCUUAGUUUAUGUUUAGCUCUUUUUAGUAUUACCUUUUACCAAGGGAAGUUGCCUCUAGCCUGGACACCGGAGAGAAGGGGCUUGUGGAAUGUGAUCUACAGUAUAGCUGCAUAUGACACCGCCCCUAAUGACCGCAUCGUCUUCAAGAGUGGAUGGAGAGAGUUUCCAGCAAGAAUAAGUGUUGUUGAUGUUGGAACAGCUGUACUAUUCACUUUCAAGAUCAGUGCUCAUGAGGAUAUUGGAGAUGAUAGUCGUUGUCCAUGUCCUCACGGCGGGUGCCUGAGUCUACUAGUUGACAAGCUUCAGUCGAGUUGGAUCUCAAUUUUCAUUAGCUUUGCACUAGCGUAGCCUUUCUCUAUCAUGUCACUUUUUGUGUGUUUAUCUGCAUGUACUGAAUCUAUAUAAUGUGUGCUUUGCACAUGUGGCAUGAUACCACCAGAACCUACUGCAUAUGUACCUAUGUUGCAUUGGUUCCAGCUUUUUGGGUUGGCAGUUAUAUAAGUUAUUGCAUGUCUAUUUUA
Molecule: long non-coding RNA, 3649 nt
Organism: Aegilops tauschii subsp. strangulata
Lineage: Eukaryota; Viridiplantae; Streptophyta; Magnoliopsida; Poales; Poaceae
Source: RefSeq, a predicted model, not a curated record